AACUAUGGGAAAUCUAAAAUGGCGACUUAGCUUAGUAUGCUUUGACGAGUAAGAAGAUUAAAGUGAGUUCAAAGAAGUGUUUUAUAGACUCCUGUUUAUUUGACUGAAGUUUUUAUUGGGUAUAGACUAGAGAGAAAACAACAAGAGUCCAAGUUUGUCAUGUGAAAUGUGUGUACUUUGGAAAUCUGUUAAAGAAAAGGUUUCCAAUCGUAUGCAGCUUUGGACGUGAAUGCAUUUAUUUCCAGCGCUCAAGGCUCUGAUGACUUGGUCAGCGGUUGAAAUCAGAGUGCCUUGUAAAAGAAAAACAAAGGUGUCAAGGAAGAAG
This 325-nucleotide unclassified non-coding RNA is filed under the name Limulus polyphemus (Atlantic horseshoe crab). RNAcentral describes it as "thiamine-triphosphatase-like, transcript variant X4". The record is from RNAcentral. Lineage: Eukaryota; Metazoa; Arthropoda; Merostomata; Xiphosura; Limulidae.